UGAGGAAAGGCUACAGCGACAAGAGAAUCGCAACUUUGGUCCUGUCAGGUGUGUGUGAGAGAGAAAGAGAAAGAGAUUUAUUAUAAGGAAUUGGCUCAUUCAGUUAUGGAGGCUGAGAAGUCCCACAAUCUGCCGUCUGCAAGCUGGAGACCCAGAAAAUCUGGCAUGUAGUUCCAGUCCAAACUUGAAGGCGAGAGCCGGGGGAGUUGAUGAUGAUUCACUACUGGGCAUGGAGCCCUUUCCUCUCUACAGUUUCUUUACCGUCCAGAUCUGCCAGCUGCAAAGGGCAGCCAUUUGCACUCAGACACACCAGUUGUUCCCUUUUUCAUGAGGGCAAGAAACAAUGAAACAGGAUUGCCUCAGGCAGACCAAGACUGACUACGGCUCGCAUACUCAAUCUCUCUCCCUCCUAUACCACAUUUUAUAUUAGUUUCACACAUUAUCUCAUUUGAUGGGGAAGAAGGAUUGAGGAACACAAAGGUCCAGACUCUUCCCUCUGUUCAAGACAAUUCUGAAGGGCCAUCCCGGCUUCAGAACUCCCCACGAGAUCAGCUGAGGCCUCUGUUGCAACUGCAUCAUAAUCAUAAUCCGACAUCUCCUUCUGCCAACCUUGUUUCACUCCCACCCUUAGAGGUGUUGUUCCUGGUAGCAUCUCCCAAUAAAAUUCUUGCGUAUGUUGAAGAACAACCAGAGCUAGACAGUAGUUAAAAUUUUAUUCAAUAUUUUUUAAUUCAAUAUUGCAAUAUUAUUUAUUGUAAUAGGAGAAAAGAGAUCUCAGUAUAGAACUAAGCUCAGUUCCAAAAACAACAAGGACAAGUGGGGAUUUACAGCCAAGGAGCAGGGCAGGGGUCAGUGGAUGGAAAACUGCUAAGAGGAAACAUCAGGGGUCAGAGGGGAUCCUGACUAAACCGACCUGACAAGAUUCUUCUGACAGCAGGCCAGGGUGAUAAAAUAUCACCUGGGGGAUGCUAGGGGAUGAAGAAUUUGAUUAGAUAUCGAAGGUGAUCAAAUAUGCAGGGUGGGGGAUACUCUCUAAACUGACUCAACAGGAUUCUUGCUAAAACUGGGUGAUGCAGGCCUGACAAGGACAGACACUGAAGCCCAAGGUCAAAGCCUAGUUGAGAAGAGGCCUUAGAGGAUCCUGACUAGAGUCUGGUCAAGGAGAUAGUCUUUGUCACAUGAAAACUUCUGUCUCUUUCUUGGGGAAUCUGACUUAUGACAUCAACCUUGAAUUAUCAACCAACUAUUUUUCUAGGCAAGCAUGCACACACGCAUACACUUCUGUCUAUUUUUAUUAUCAUUGUAUUAUUUUUAAAAAGUUACUUUAAUUCCAAUAAAGAAAGAAGCAUAAUUGCAGAGUAAAUUAAAAAUGCUUUGAAUUAGGGGCCAGCUCCAUGGCUGAGUGGUCAAGUUCGCACGCUAUGCUUUGGCAGCCCAGGGUUUCGUCAGUUUGGAUCCUGGGUGUGGACAUGGCACCACUCGUCAAGCUAUGCUGAGGUGGCAUCCCACAUGCCACAACUAGAAGGACCCACAACUAAAAAUAUACAGCUAUGUACCGGGGGGCUUUGGG
This is a long non-coding RNA of Equus caballus (horse), 1570 nucleotides long. Lineage: Eukaryota; Metazoa; Chordata; Mammalia; Perissodactyla; Equidae. The record is from Ensembl.